RNAcentral lists this ribosomal RNA (433 nucleotides) under uncultured bacterium. RNAcentral describes it as "partial 16S ribosomal RNA". It matches the Rfam family "Bacterial small subunit ribosomal RNA", at positions 29 to 507 of the family's 1533-position model. The record is from RNAcentral.
AACGAACGCUGGCGGCAUGCCUAACACAUGCCAGUCGAACGAGACCUUCGGGUCUAGUGGCGCACGGGUGCGUAACGCGUGGGGACCUGCCCUUAGGUUCGGAAUAACUCCCCGAAAGGGGUGCUAAUACCGGAUAAUGUCUUCGGACCAAAGAUUUAUCGCCUUUGGAUGGGCCCGCGUUGGAUUAGCUAGUUGGUAGGGUAAAAGCCUACCAAGGCGACGAUCCAUAGCUGGUCUGAGAGGAUGAUCAGCCACACUGGGACUGAGACACGGCCCAGACUCCUACGGGAGGCAGCAGUGGGGAAUAUUGGACAAUGGGCGAAAGCCUGAUCCAGCAAUGCCGCGUGAGUGAUGAAGGCCUUAGGGUUGUAAAGCUCUUUUACCCGGGAUGAUAAUGACAGUACCGGGAGAAUAAGCUCCGGCUAACUCCGUG